CCCACGGGUGGCAGCAGUGGGGGAUAUUGCACAAUGGGGGGAACCCUGAUGCAGCGACGCCGCGUGGGUGAAGGAGUAUUUCGGUAUGUAAAGCCCUAUCGGCAGGGAAGAAUUUAGACGGUACCUGACUAAGAAGCCCCGGCUAAUUCCGUGCCAGCAGCCGCGGUAAUACGGAAGGUCCGGGCGUUCUCCGGAUUGAUUGGGUUUAAAGGGAGCGUAGGCCGCAUGUCAAGCGUGCUGUGAAAUGUCCGGGCUCAACCCGGGCCUUGCAGCGCGAACUGGCGUGCUUGAGUCCGCGGAAAGCAGGCGGAAUUCGUCGUGUAGCGGUGAAAUGCUUAGAUAUGACGAAGAACCCCGAUUGCGAAGGCAGCUUGCUGCAGCGGAACUGACGCUGAUGCUCGAAAGCGCGGGUAUCGAACAGGAUUAGAUACCCCAGUAGUC
Molecule: ribosomal RNA, 441 nt
Filed under: uncultured bacterium
Lineage: Bacteria
Description: partial 16S ribosomal RNA
Rfam family: Bacterial small subunit ribosomal RNA
Source: RNAcentral